CCUACGGGAGGCUGCAGUGGGGGAUAUUGCACAAUGGGGGAAACCCUGAUGCAGCGACGCCGCGUGAGUGAAGCAGUAUUUCGGUAUGUAAAGCUCUAUCAGCAGGGAAGAAAAUGACAGUACCUGACCAAGAAGCCCCGGCUAACUACGUGCCAGCAGCCGCGGUAAUACGUAGGGGGCAAGCGUUAUCCGGAUUUACUGGGUGUAAAGGGAGCGUAGACGGUUAUGUAAGUCUGGAGUGAAAGCCCGGGGCCCAACCCCGGGACUGCUUUGGAAACUGUGUAACGGGAGUACAGGAGGGGUAGGCGGAAUUCCUGGUGUAGCGGUGAAAUGCGUAGAGAUCAGGAAGAACACC
RNAcentral lists this ribosomal RNA (355 nucleotides) under uncultured bacterium. RNAcentral describes it as "partial 16S ribosomal RNA". It matches the Rfam family "Bacterial small subunit ribosomal RNA", at positions 338 to 710 of the family's 1533-position model. The record is from RNAcentral.